RNAcentral lists this ribosomal RNA (80 nucleotides) under Flavobacterium potami. RNAcentral's name for it is "partial 16S ribosomal RNA". It matches the Rfam family "Bacterial small subunit ribosomal RNA", at positions 1454 to 1533 of the family's 1533-position model. The record is from RNAcentral. Lineage: Bacteria; Pseudomonadati; Bacteroidota; Flavobacteriia; Flavobacteriales; Flavobacteriaceae.
UGCCUAGGGUAAAACUGGUAACUAGGGCUAAGUCGUAACAAGGUAGCCGUACCGGAAGGUGCGGCUGGAACACCUCCUUU